GGGGCCAUAGUUUAAAUGGUAGAAUGCCUGCUUUGCACGUAGGAGAUUAGGAGUUCAAAUCUCCUUGGCUCCA
This 73-nucleotide transfer RNA is filed under the name Candidatus Portiera aleyrodidarum (primary endosymbiont of Bemisia tabaci). Its description in RNAcentral is "tRNA-Ala (TGC) (tRNA-Ala-TGC-1-1)". It matches the Rfam family "tRNA". Rfam says of the family: Transfer RNA (tRNA) molecules are approximately 80 nucleotides in length. Their secondary structure includes four short double-helical elements and three loops (D, anti-codon, and T loops). Lineage: Bacteria; Pseudomonadati; Pseudomonadota; Gammaproteobacteria; Johnevansiales (SeqCode); Johnevansiaceae (SeqCode). The record is from RNAcentral.